GCGACGUCACGCUCCAGGAAACUUUUACCGUCACACGUUCUGCUACGUAGCCAUCUGUCGACCACUUCUCUCUCCUCGCUCUAUCUCCCCUCCCCCGCUGCUUCACUCCUCCAAUCUUCCAUCGCCGCCGGCGGAUAUCCACCGAAACCCUAGCAAACGACUCAUCGAUCGAUCUGACGAUCUCCAAGCCCUAACCAUGUCCUCCGUUUUCUUCUCAUCUCUUCUUCAGACGGAAAUCCUCUUCCCCCGGCCCGCUGCCGCCGGCUGCCUCAGGCACCACCGCCCAUCGCAUCGCCUCCGCUUCCGGAGGACUCGUCUUCACCUCGUUCCGAGUUCGGCUUAUAAAGAUAGAGUUUCGGUCACUGACGUCUCUGGUGAGUUGGAUCGGUACGUGGGAAAUGGGAACGGCCGCGGCGGUGGACUAGAGUACACGGAGGUCACGAAUGGGAGCGUUGAGGUGAUGUUGAAUGUGAAUGAUGCGAAAAAUGGGAAUUUGGUGAGGUACAGUGGUGGUAACGGAGCGGUGGCGGUGGAAGUGGACGAGGGUUCUGCGGAGACGGAGAGGAAAAAGAGAGUCGAGGAGAUAGGGAAGGAGGAUGCUUGGUUCAAGAAGGGAGGGGAGAAGCCCCAGGUCUCUGUCACUCCUGGAGGCCGUUGGAACAGAUUUAAAACUUAUUCUACAGUACAAAGAACUUUGGAGAUAUGGAGUUUUGUUUUUGCAUUUAUCUUUAAAUAUUGGCUUAACAACCAGAAAUUCUCUUAUCGAGGGGGAAUGACAGAGGCAAAAAAGGUUCUAAGGCAAAAAGCCCUUGCUAAGUGGCUGAAGGAAGGUCUUUUGAGAUUAGGUCCCACAUUCAUCAAAAUAGGGCAGCAAUUUUCUACACGGGUAGAUAUUCUUCCACAAGAGUAUGUUGAUCAAUUGUCUGAACUUCAGGACCAAGUUCCUCCAUUCCCUACAGACAUUGCUGUCUCAAUUAUUGAAGAGGAACUUGGAGCUCCUCUGGAUGAUGUAUUUGACCAAUUUGAGUAUGAGCCAAUAGCCGCUGCAAGUCUUGGUCAAGUGCACCGAGCAAAAUUGAAGGGCCAAGAAGUUGCGAUUAAAGUACAAAGGCCAGGUCUCAAGGAUCUAUUUGAUAUUGAUCUGAAGAAUCUGAGGGUCAUAGCUGAAUAUCUUCAGAAGUUGGACCCGGCAUCAGAUGGUGCCAAGAGAGACUGGGUUGCUAUCUAUGAUGAAUGUGCCAGUGUCCUUUACCAGGAAAUAGAUUACACUAAAGAAGCAGAGAAUGCUGAACAGUUCUCUGAAAACUUCAAGGAUAUGGAUUAUAUUAAAGUUCCCAAAAUAUACUGGGAGUACACCACGCCACAGGUACUCACAAUGGAAUUUGUUCCUGGAAUAAAGAUAAAUAGAAUAAAGCAAUUAGAUCAGUUGGGUGUUGACCGGAAAAGGUUGGGCCGAUAUGCUGUUGAGUCUUAUCUUGAACAGAUUUUGUCCCAUGGUUUUUUUCAUGCUGAUCCGCAUCCUGGGAAUAUCGCUGUGGAUGAUGUGAAUGGUGGGAGGCUCAUAUUUUAUGACUUUGGAAUGAUGGGAAGCAUUAGUCCUAAUAUUAGGGAAGGGCUACUUGAAACAUUCUAUGGAGUUUAUGAGAAAGAUCCAGACCGGGUGCUUCAAGCAAUGAUUCAAAUGGGUGUUCUUGUUCCCACAGGUGACAUGACAGCUGUCAGGAGAACAGCUCAGUUCUUUCUUAAUAGUUUUGAGGAGCGCCUUGCAGCACAAAGGAAAGAGCGGGAGAUGGCCAUCACUGAACUUGGGUUCAAAAAACAAUUGACCAAAGAAGAAAGAUUUGAGAAGAAGAAACAGAGGCUAGCAGCAAUAGGUGAGGAUCUUUUAGCGAUUGCUGCUGAUCAACCUUUCCGUUUUCCAGCCACUUUCACUUUCGUUGUUAGAGCAUUUUCAGUACUUGAUGGGAUAGGAAAGGGCCUUGACCCCAGAUUUGACAUUACUGAGAUUGCCAAACCAUAUGCCAUGGAAUUACUUAGGUUCCAAGACGUUGGCUUUGAAGUAAUUCUCAAGGACAUCAAGAAAAGAUGGGACAGACAAUCAAAAGCAUUCUACAACUUGUUUAGACAAGCUGAUAGAGUAGAGAAAUUGGCUCAAAUAGUUCAAAGAUUGGAGCAAGGUGACCUCAAGCUUCGUGUGAGAACUCUUGAAUCUGAGAGAGCAUUUCAGAGAGUUGCUGUUGUGCAGAAAACUAUUGGAAAUGGUAUCGCCAUGGGAAGUCUAGUAAACCUUGCAACAAUUUUGCAUUUCAAUUCCGUCCGGGUGCCGGCUAUGAUAGCAUACAUGCUGUUCGCCUUCUUUGGAUUGCAAGUCCUUUUAGGCAUCUUCAAAAUAAAAAAAUUGGACCAACAAGAGCGAUUGAUAACCGGCACUGCUUGACAUAUGAGUUCGACCCACUGCAACAACUUCCCUCGCAUUCUUGGUUUCACUAUCUCCCCCCUUGUCUGAGAUAAAGAUAGAGCUGACAAAGUCAAUUGAUUCAAAUGGGAUUUGACUUUGGUAUAUAUAUCUAUAAAAGGAGAAGUGACAGUUUCUGGCGGAUUGUUUAAGCUGCUGAUACAAUCAUAUCGAAUGUUGAUAUACCAGAAGGAUACAUUGACAUAUGAAGGUGGUAGUCAAGGAGGCAUUCUGCAUGGAUUACCUCCUCGUGGCCAUUGUUCGAGAAAGGCUGCUCACGUCCAACAGAGUUUCCAACGUUUCAUGAGAAAGAGACACAACCCUAAGCACCAUUGAAGCCCCACUACUGAAAUUCUCAUUCCAUUUGUAUUUUGAAUCACUUACAGUGUCUUGAUAGUUCUAUACUUAGCUCAUGAAGGAUGAAGUGGGCAUUGAUCGAUCAAGUCGAAUAAUGCCUCGUCUAGACCAAAUCCAAGCAUUCUUGCCA
Zingiber officinale is the source of this 2942-nucleotide RNA transcript. It is a transcript of the gene named protein ACTIVITY OF BC1 COMPLEX KINASE 8, chloroplastic-like, with no coding region annotated. NCBI's taxonomy places the organism in Eukaryota, Viridiplantae, Streptophyta, Magnoliopsida, Zingiberales, Zingiberaceae. The transcript has 22 exons. The record is from RefSeq and is a predicted model, not a curated record.